This 383-nucleotide long non-coding RNA is filed under the name Panax ginseng (ginseng). RNAcentral describes it as "long non-coding RNA (PGIN_LNC008455)". Lineage: Eukaryota; Viridiplantae; Streptophyta; Magnoliopsida; Apiales; Araliaceae. The record is from RNAcentral.
UUAUUUCCUUUUCUGUGCUUGCCCUUUUGUGUUCUCAUUUGGUUGAGUUUUAUCUGAAAAGGCGAGUUUGAAAAGGUCUAAUAUGUGAGUGUCAACGAUUUGACUUUUAGAGUCGCCAGUUGGUAGAUUUGAAAUAGUUGUACCAACUCAACCAAUUUUGAAAAUGUUUACACAAAGGCCCAAUGGUUGGACAUUGUUUAACUGGCCUUGGAAACCAAGGUUUAUUGGGUCCGGUGGCUCGAUUUAGCGGGGGGAAAGUGUUAGGCACCCCCCAACUUCCGUGAAAACAAGGUUAUCGCAACUUUUUAAUUACCUUAUUUAUCUGCGUGUGUUUGUGUGUGUGAUUAUUUGGCCUAUGUGCAAUUAUCUAGAAGUAGUGUUAU